AUAUUUCGGAACUGAGUCUAGUUCCUUCGAUAUCAGUGUAAUCUAAUAUUUAUGAAAUCUGCUGUGUUGGUGAUCUUAUUCACCUGAGUACAUUACACCAACACAGCAGAUUUCAUAAAUAUUAGAUUACACUGAUAUCGAAGGAACUAGACUCAGUUCCGAAAUAU
This is a non-coding RNA of Paramuricea clavata, 167 nucleotides long. The record is from the annotation of a GenBank genome assembly. Lineage: Eukaryota; Metazoa; Cnidaria; Anthozoa; Malacalcyonacea; Plexauridae.